RNAcentral lists this long non-coding RNA (612 nucleotides) under Dasypus novemcinctus (nine-banded armadillo). RNAcentral describes it as "lncRNA (ENSDNOG00000051556.1)". Lineage: Eukaryota; Metazoa; Chordata; Mammalia; Cingulata; Dasypodidae. The record is from RNAcentral.
UUGGUGCAGGUGGGGAGGUUCAGUGAAGUGUCUCUGAUGGUUCCUGGCAGGCAAGGACUCAAACUCUGACCACAGAGGCCCAGGUCAGGGUACUGCAGCUUUGAGGAGUAACUGCCCAGUGGAUCAGGGCUUUUCUAGUGCCAUGGAGAGAACACUGAACAAUUCUCAGCGUCUCCUGAAGAAAAUCAGGCCUCCUCACUACAACCGUCCCAAGAAUACAUGGCACCCAUCACCCUCCCUACUCUGCCUAGAGGGUCUAAAGAGUUAGAACUGCCCCAAGGAGGUUCACCAGAAGCUACAGGAUUUUCACCUGGAGUGUGGGCAACAGCUCCAGCAAGGCCCAAAAGUCUAGGGUGCGCGUGGGAGUCGGGGGUGCUAAAGUCGCCUGAACCCAGCGGGAAGGAAGAUCCGGAGCAGCAUCCAGGAUCCGGAGCUGGAGCCCCCAGGAGAGGAGUCGAGACUCGAACCCCCAGCUCGGUGCCCACGUCUGCGCCAAACGGCUCUUGAGCAAUCCGGCAGGGAAAGGAAAGAGGUGAGGACGGCGUCCACGAUGCAGGUCUGCAGGUCGGCAGGGUCCGUGGCUGCGCCGCCGCGUGGUCGGUUCUCCUGUGC